UCCUGUUAAUGAGGAUCAUUUAGGGGAAGCUGCUGCUUGUGUGACUUCUUCUCCACCAUCUGAUGAUACAACUUCUAGAAAGAAACCUAGGCUAAAAUGGGGUGAGGGGCUUGCUAAGUAUGAGAAGAAAAUAGUUGACGGGCCUGAUCUUUGUGAAAACAAAGAUAUCCAUGUCAGUAAUAUGGAACCCUAUAAUAAUCCUAGUCCCCAUGACACAGUAGAUAAAAGUCUGAAAAUUACAGGAUUUUCAGGCUGUGCAUCUCCUGCUACUCCUGCUGCCUUCAGUUCCUCCCCAGGUAUGUUUCAGGACCUCGGCUGUUUGAAACCUUUUUAAACCUUCAGUUGACAAGUUAGAACAAAAUGCCAACUUAACUUGUGAAAGUAUUUACUACUUGCAGCGAUGUAAUAUUUUAAUUAGCAUGGUGGUAUGUCCUGCUAUAACAUGCCAUGUAGUGAAUAAUACUCUGAUGUAGGGUGUUUAUCUUACUAUGCUACAUAGGACUGUGCCUGGACUUCUAUUUUGGAAAGUAGACAGCUUGGGUACAGGCAUGAAAUUUUGCUGGAGAAUUAAAAUACAGAAUAACCGCUAUUUUGGCUAGUAAUUCUUAACUGGAUUUAUACGUUGCAAGUAUUUAGUUAUCCCAUCUCUUUGUUUCCUUAUUGAUUUUUUUUCUGAGGAGGAUAAUUUUUUCAAACCUAAUGUAUAACGAAAGGGCGGCCAGCCGGCCAUGUGCACGAGGCUCCCACCUAGUGGGGUAUGGGGAAGGUAGACGUACACUAACUUAUCCUUGCAAUUGAAGAGGUUGUUUCCCGGAUUUGAAUCCAUGACCUCCAGGUCACAAGGCAAACAACUUCUCUGAUGUGCCAAGGCUUACCCUCUAAUGUAUAAUGUUAGUUAAAAGCUUUCUCUUAAUAGUUAAUACCAUCAUGAUAGCAGUAAAAGUGUAAAUUCUGUGUCCUUUUAUUUUUUUCCUAACAAGGAUAAUUUUUCUGAGCCUUAUGAAUGAUGCUAGUUAAUAUUUUUCCCAUAAUACUCUCAUAAUAGUAGUCUCAUCUCAUUGGAAUUGUUUAUAUAUAUUACUGCCCCACCCUUAUAUAUUCUUUUUUCCAUUUCAUGCACUAAUAGCACUAUUUAUUUUCAAAAUCUAAUUUUCACAUUCUAGCAGGUAUGGAUGAUAAAUUAUUUGGAAAGACUGAAAGUGUGGACAAUGAUGUCAGCAACUUGACUGUUUCAGCUGUUCCUGGGUUCCAAAAUCAUCUUCAGAAGUUUUCUUUUAAUUUAGAGAAAUUGGAUAUUGACUCCCUGAAUAAUAUGGGAGCUUCAAUUACCGAGUUGGUACAAUGUGAUGAUCCAAGUUCUGUGGAUUCUGGUCUUAUGAGUUCAAGUGCAAUGAAUAAGUUGCUGAUAUGGAAAGCUGACAUUUCAAAGGUACUGGAAAUGACUGAAUCUGAAAUUGAUUCACUUGAAACCGAACUUAAGUCUCUAAAAUCCGAAUGUGGGGAUAGGUGUCCAUGUCCAGCAGCAGCAUUGGGCUCCCAGCGGGUAUGUCGCAAUGAAAAACCACGUGAAGAACAUUCUGGAGUCUCUGAUAAGGUCCUUCUGCCUGAACCCUUAAAAAUUAUUUCUUCUGAUGGCCCCCUUGUGGACGAGAGGCCUCUCUCAACUAAUUUACACAGUAGUCAUGAAAACGGCAAGGAUGAAGAUAUUGAUAGUCCUGGAACAACAACAUUUAAAUUUGUAGAGCCGCUGCCUUUGACUACAGUUGUUUCUUCAUGUGAUACUAUCAGAUGUUCUAACUUCUCUGGGGACUUGGAUGUUAUGCAGUCUGCAGCCGUGAAAAGCUUAGGUCCCUGUACUACCAGGAAAGGUGCCAGUGUAUCUGUUUGUGGUCAUGGCAAUACAUCUUUAGAGACAAAAGAUUGUAUGAAUGCUGGUACCCCUGGUUCCAGCUUGUGUCACAACACUGGGGACAGUUUAUAUAAUAUAAUUGUUACUUCCAACAAAGAAUCUGCAAACAGAUCAUGUGGGGUAUUGGCUAAGUUAUUGCCAAAAGAAUGCUGUGAGAUUGGUAAUAUGGGAGGUAGCAGUAGUACCUCAUUUCCCCAUAAUGCAUCCAUCAUGGAAAAUGUUUUUUAUGGGAAUGGAAUGUCUACUUUAAAGAAAUGUAUUUCUUCAUAGAAUUUACUAUGAUAUUUUUUAAAUCCUUUGCCUUUUAUAUGGUCAAGAUAAUAUAUACUUUGCGCUUUUGUUGAUUUUCCCUUUUUUGUUUAAACAUUUUCUUAAGGUCUUGGUAAGCAGGGCAGUCGGCACCAGUUUUCUGAAGAAUUGGGCCAUGGGUAUGCAGUUUCUCGGUCCAGCGACAAAAUGCUGGAGGACAAUGUUAGGUCAUCAUCAGUUUCACGUGGUGAUGGAAGAUAUGUCAGGAACAAUAGGGAAAAUAGAGGACCCUUUGGCCAGAGAGAUUGGAGAGGACAUUCAUGGGAAGCUACCAACAGCUCUUUGAAUAUGUCCAGGAGACCACCAGAUGUGAAAAAUGACCAGAGGUCAGAUUGUGACAUAAUAUAUUCCUCUCACCCGCAUUCUGAUUUCCUGAACACUCGGGAUCAGCACAACUCAAAAGACCAGCAUGAUAAGAUGGGUGAUGUCAAUGGGUGUGGAACAGACCCGGGAUGUGAUAAAGGGAAAUCUCUGGGUUCAAUUGACUGGAAGCCACUUAAAUGGACCAGAUCUGGAGGCUUGUCAUCACGAGGCUCAGGUUUUCGUCACUGUAGUAGGUCGAGGAGCAUGGGAGGGGAAGAUUCAUAUGGAGUGAAGAUUGACUUGCAACCCAAAAAUGCUCCUGUUAAUGAGGAUCAUUUAGGGGAAGCUGCUGCUUGUGUGACUUCUUCUCCACCAUCUGAUGAUACAACUUCUAGAAAGAAACCUAGGCUAAAAUGGGGUGAGGGGCUUGCUAAGUAUGAGAAGAAAAUAGUUGACGGGCCUGAUCUUUGUGAAAACAAAGAUAUCCAUGUCAGUAAUAUGGAACCCUAUAAUAAUCCUAGUCCCCAUGACACAGUAGAUAAAAGUCUGAAAAUUACAGGAUUUUCAGGCUGUGCAUCUCCUGCUACUCCUGCUGCCUUCAGUUCCUCC
Molecule: long non-coding RNA, 3130 nt
Filed under: Lupinus angustifolius (narrow-leaved blue lupine)
Lineage: Eukaryota; Viridiplantae; Streptophyta; Magnoliopsida; Fabales; Fabaceae
Description: long non-coding RNA (LANG_LNC000730)
Source: RNAcentral